This 404-nucleotide ribosomal RNA is filed under the name uncultured bacterium. RNAcentral describes it as "bacterial SSU rRNA". It matches the Rfam family "Bacterial small subunit ribosomal RNA", at positions 355 to 776 of the family's 1533-position model. The record is from RNAcentral.
UGGGGAAUAUUGGACAAUGGGCGCAAGCCUGAUCCAGCCAUGCCGCGUGAGUGAAGACGGCCUUAGGGUUGUAAAGCUCUUUCACCGGUGAAGAUAAUGACGGUAGCCGGAGAAGAAGCCCCGGCUAACUCCGUGCCAGCAGCCGCGGUAAUACGGAGGGGGCUAGCGUUGUUCGGAAUUACUGGGCGUAAAGCGCGCGUAGGCGGCUUGGUAAGUUAGGCGUGAAAGCCCGAGGCUCAACUUCGGAAUUGCGUUUAAAACUGCUGAGCUAGAGUCCGAGAGAGGUGAGUGGAAUUCUCAGUGUAGAGGUGAAAUUCGUAGAUAUUGGGAAGAACACCAGUGGCGAAGGCGGCUCACUGGAUCGGUACUGACGCUCAGGUGCGAAAGCGUGGGGAGCGAACAGG